GUGCCUAAUAGCUAGCCCAAACAUCCACCUAAAAUUAUUUAUAAAUACCUUUUAAUUAAUUUAAAAAAUUUAAACAAACCAUUUUUCCACCUUAGUAUGGGCGACAGAAAAGGAACCCGGAGCAACAGAAAAAGUACCGCAAGGGAAAGCUGAAAGAGAAAUGAAACAACUUGUUCAAGCCGUAAAAAGCAGAGAUUAAAACUCGUACCUUUUGCAUCAUGAUUUAGCCAGUAAAACUCAAGCACAGCGCCCUUUAGUUUGAUACCCCGAAACUGAGCGAGCUACUUCAAGACAGCCUAUUUAAAUAGGGCAAACCCGUCUCUGUGGCAAAAGAGUGGGAAGAGCUUCAAGUAGCGGUGAUAAACCUACCGAGCCCAGUUAUAGCUGGUUGCCUGAGAAAUGAAUAGAAGUUCAGCCUUUUAUGUUUCUUAACCUAAACCAGACCCACACAAAUCUAGGCCUAAAAGAAACUAAAAGAGUUAGCCAACGGAGGUACAGCUCCUUUGGAAAAGAUACAACUUUUUUAGGUGGUGAAAGAUCAAAAUUAUUUACUAGGUAUUUCGUUUUAGUGGGCCUAA
Molecule: ribosomal RNA, 578 nt
Filed under: Polymixia berndti (Pacific beardfish)
Lineage: Eukaryota; Metazoa; Chordata; Actinopteri; Polymixiiformes; Polymixiidae
Description: partial 16S ribosomal RNA
Rfam family: Bacterial large subunit ribosomal RNA (bases 185-578)
Source: RNAcentral